This 393-nucleotide ribosomal RNA is filed under the name Proamphiporus crandalli. RNAcentral's name for it is "partial large subunit ribosomal RNA". It matches the Rfam family "Bacterial large subunit ribosomal RNA", at positions 1817 to 2529 of the family's 2925-position model. Lineage: Eukaryota; Metazoa; Nemertea; Enopla; Monostilifera; Amphiporidae. The record is from RNAcentral.
AGUCUUUUGGUAAUUUUAUAAGAGAUGUUUCCUGCUCAGUGAUGUUUAACAGCCGCGGUAAUUUGACCGUGCAAAGGUAGCAUAAUCAUUUGCUUCAUAAUUGGGGACUUGUAUGAAUGGGGUUACAAGGUUUCUGCUUUAUUUUUUAGAUUUUUAGAAUUUGCUUUUUUGGUGAAGAAGCUAGGAUUUUUUAGUGGGACAAGAAGACCCUUUUGAGCUUUAUUAUUUUUUAUUUUUUUAGUAUUAUUUAAUUUGGUUGGGGCGACCGAGGAAGUUAGAUCUUCCUUUUUUUAUUUUGAUCCAUGGUUUAUGAUUUAUUGAAUAAGCUACCAAAGGGAUAACAGCAUAAUUUUUUUUGUGAGUUGUUAUUAAAAGAAAAGAUUGUGACCUCGA